GAUUCUGGCUCAGGAUGAACGCUGGCGGCGUGCUUAACACAUGCAAGUCGAACGGAGUUUUAAUGGAAGUCCUCGGAUGGAAGUUUAAAAACUAGUGGCGGACGGGUGAGUAACGCGUGGGUAACCUGCCUCAUACAGGGGGAUAACAGUCGGAAACGAUUGCUAAAACCGCAUAAUAUAGCGAAACCGCAUGAUUUUUGCUAUCAAAUAUUUAUAGGUAUGAGAUGGGCCCGCGUCUGAUUAGCUAGUUGGUGGGGUAAUGGCCUACCAAGGCGACGAUCAGUAGCCGGCUUGAGAGAGUGACCGGCCACAUUGGGACUGAGACACGGCCCAAACUCCUACGGGAGGCAGCAGUGGGGAAUAUUGGACAAUGGGGGAAACCCUGAUCCAGCGAACCGCCGCGUGAGUGAAGAAGUAUUUCGGUAUGUAAAGCUCUAUCAGCAGGGAAGAUAAUGACAGUACCUGACUAAGAAGCCCCGGCUAACUACGUGCCAGCAGCCGC
Molecule: ribosomal RNA, 502 nt
Filed under: uncultured bacterium
Lineage: Bacteria
Description: bacterial SSU rRNA
Rfam family: Bacterial small subunit ribosomal RNA
Source: RNAcentral